RNAcentral lists this long non-coding RNA (199 nucleotides) under Elaeis guineensis (African oil palm). RNAcentral describes it as "long non-coding RNA (EGUI_LNC044938)". Lineage: Eukaryota; Viridiplantae; Streptophyta; Magnoliopsida; Arecales; Arecaceae. The record is from RNAcentral.
GAACUGAUCUUGGCAGCUUGAGCCCAAGAUCGGUCGCUGGCGCGCUUCUUGUGUUCCUCGAGCUCCUUCUCGAAGUUCGCUUUCCUCCGACUGUACUCCAUGAUCCCCUUCACGUGGAGGUUCCGAAAGCAGGUGGCCUUCGUGGUGGCUUCAGAGUGGCUCUCCCUCAACCUGCGAAGCUCGCCAUCCAUCUCCUUUG